This 253-nucleotide ribosomal RNA is filed under the name uncultured bacterium. RNAcentral's name for it is "partial 16S ribosomal RNA". It matches the Rfam family "Bacterial small subunit ribosomal RNA", at positions 524 to 776 of the family's 1533-position model. The record is from RNAcentral.
UACAGAGGUCCCAAGCGUUGUUCGGAUUCACUGGGCGUAAAGGGUGCGUAGGCGGUCGGGUAAGUCUGAUGUGAAAUCUCACAGCUUAACUGUGAAACUGCAUUGGAUACUAUCCGGCUCGAGGAAUGGAGGGGAGACUGGAAUACUUGGUGUAGCAGUGAAAUGCGUAGAUAUCAAGUGGAACACCAGUGGCGAAGGCGAGUCUCUGGACAUUUCCUGACGCUGAGGCACGAAGGCCAGGGGAGCAAACGGG